GGUGACUCAGUGGUAGAGUGCUUGCCUCACAUGCAUGAGGGCCUGGGUUUGAUUCCAGAGCACCA
Molecule: transfer RNA, 65 nt
Filed under: Dipodomys ordii (Ord's kangaroo rat)
Lineage: Eukaryota; Metazoa; Chordata; Mammalia; Rodentia; Heteromyidae
Rfam family: tRNA
About the family: Transfer RNA (tRNA) molecules are approximately 80 nucleotides in length.
Source: Rfam by way of RNAcentral